UCUAGGGGAGGAAAGAGGCCCUGUUCUAGAGGUCAUUGUAUCUCGAACAAAUUUUAUCUCAUCACACACAGAAAAGCCUGUUAGAAUAGUUGGACUAUCUACUGCCUUAGCUAAUGCCAGAGACCUUGCUGAUUGGCUCAAUAUUAAGCAGAUGGGCUUGUUUAACUUCCGACCAUCAGUACGCCCAGUUCCACUGGAAGUUCACAUUCAAGGCUUUCCAGGUCAACAUUACUGUCCUCGUAUGGCUAGUAUGAACAAGCCUGCAUUUCAGGCAAUUAGAAGCCAUUCUCCAGCCAAACCUGUUUUGAUAUUUGUCUCAUCAAGACGUCAAACUCGUCUUACUGCUUUGGAAUUGAUCGCCUUCCUGGCUACUGAGGAAGAUCCAAAGCAGUGGUUAAACAUGG
Molecule: long non-coding RNA, 404 nt
Filed under: Pan troglodytes (chimpanzee)
Lineage: Eukaryota; Metazoa; Chordata; Mammalia; Primates; Hominidae
Description: long non-coding RNA NONPTRT015261
Source: RNAcentral